RNAcentral lists this ribosomal RNA (582 nucleotides) under uncultured fungus. RNAcentral describes it as "SSU rRNA". It matches the Rfam family "Eukaryotic small subunit ribosomal RNA", at positions 83 to 668 of the family's 1831-position model. The record is from RNAcentral. Lineage: Eukaryota; Fungi.
GAAACUGCGAAUGGCUCAUUAUAUAAGUUAUCGUUUAUUUGAUAGUACCUUACUACUUGGAUAACCGUGGUAAUUCUAGAGCUAAUACAUGCUAAAAAUCCCGACUUCGGAAGGGAUGUAUUUAUUAGAUUAAAAACCAAUGCCCUUCGGGGCUCUCUGGUGAUUCAUGAUAACUUCUCGAAUCGCACGGCCUUGCGCCGGCGAUGGCUCAUUCAAAUUUCUUCCCUAUCAACUUUCGAUGUUUGGGUCUUGGCCAAACAUGGUUGCAACGGGUAACGGAGGGUUAGGGCUCGACCCCGGAGAAGGAGCCUGAGAAACGGCUACUACAUCCAAGGAAGGCAGCAGGCGCGCAAAUUACCCAAUCCCGACACGGGGAGGUAGUGACAAUAAAUACUGAUACAGGGCUCUUUUGGGUCUUGUAAUUGGAAUGAGUACAAUUUAAAUCCCUUAACGAGGAACAAUUGGAGGGCAAGUCUGGUGCCAGCAGCCGCGGUAAUUCCAGCUCCAAUAGCGUAUAUUAAAGUUGUUGUGGUUAAAAAGCUCGUAGUUGAACCUUGGGCCUGGCUGGCCGGUCCGCCUCAC